Molecule: long non-coding RNA, 400 nt
Filed under: Daucus carota (carrot)
Lineage: Eukaryota; Viridiplantae; Streptophyta; Magnoliopsida; Apiales; Apiaceae
Description: long non-coding RNA (DCAR_LNC003874)
Source: RNAcentral
UACAAAACCGAAAUUAAUUCGGUUCGGUAUUUGGUAGAGUUUUUCAUAGAAUUUCAGUUUCAGUUUACCAAAAUAAAUUUCGGUUUCAGUUAACCGAAUGCACACCCCUAAUCACAGUGAUAUAUGUUUGUUAGUUAUUCCUUUAUAAUAUUUGUUUUGGUCGUCGGACGUAGUUGUUGUUGUUUGCAAGCUUACUGUCUGUUUUAUUGGGCGAUCGAUGUAUAUGGCUAGAUGUCAUCAAUCAGUUCUGUUAAAGAGCCGUAUGCUUUUUAUAUGCAGGAAGUGGUGUAUAUGUCUAAAAAGCAGUGUUUGGAAAAGUUAAUGACAAUGUUAAUCAAGAACAUGAUUACUUUUUUAUAUGCAGGAAGUGGUGUAUAUGUAUAAGAAGCAGUGUUUGGAA